This 205-nucleotide long non-coding RNA is filed under the name Hordeum vulgare. Its description in RNAcentral is "long non-coding RNA (HVUL_LNC005669)". Lineage: Eukaryota; Viridiplantae; Streptophyta; Magnoliopsida; Poales; Poaceae. The record is from RNAcentral.
UCCUCCCCUUGGUGCGCAGCCCUUGGGGCUCCUUGAGCCUCAAGGCAACCCUCCCCUUCCUCCUCCUAUAUAUAUGGAGCAAUUAGGGCUGAUUUGAGACAACUUUUCAAAGGCAGCCCGACCACAUACCUCCACGGUUUUACCUCUAGAUCGUGUUUCUGCGGAGCUCGAGCGGAGCCCUGCCGAGAUCAGAUCACCACCAACC